RNAcentral lists this ribosomal RNA (757 nucleotides) under Rhodococcus sp. (in: high G+C Gram-positive bacteria). RNAcentral describes it as "bacterial SSU rRNA". It matches the Rfam family "Bacterial small subunit ribosomal RNA", at positions 59 to 833 of the family's 1533-position model. The record is from RNAcentral. Lineage: Bacteria; Bacillati; Actinomycetota; Actinomycetes; Mycobacteriales; Nocardiaceae.
CAGUCGAGCGGUAAGGCCCUUCGGGGUACACGAGCGGCGAACGGGUGAGUAACACGUGGGUGAUCUGCCCUGCACUUCGGGAUAAGCCUGGGAAACUGGGUCUAAUACCGGAUAUGACCUUCGGCUGCAUGGCUGAGGGUGGAAAGGUUUACUGGUGCAGGAUGGGCCCGCGGCCUAUCAGCUUGUUGGUGGGGUAAUGGCCUACCAAGGCGACGACGGGUAGCCGACCUGAGAGGGUGACCGGCCACACUGGGACUGAGACACGGCCCAGACUCCUACGGGAGGCAGCAGUGGGGAAUAUUGCACAAUGGGCGAAAGCCUGAUGCAGCGACGCCGCGUGAGGGAUGACGGCCUUCGGGUUGUAAACCUCUUUCAGCAGGGACGAAGCGAAAGUGACGGUACCUGCAGAAGAAGCACCGGCCAACUACGUGCCAGCAGCCGCGGUAAUACGUAGGGUGCAAGCGUUGUCCGGAAUUACUGGGCGUAAAGAGCUCGUAGGCGGUUUGUCGCGUCGUCUGUGAAAACUCGAGGCUCAACCUCGAGCUUGCAGGCGAUACGGGCAGACUUGAGUACUGCAGGGGAGACUGGAAUUCCUGGUGUAGCGGUGAAAUGCGCAGAUAUCAGGAGGAACACCGGUGGCGAAGGCGGGUCUCUGGGCAGUAACUGACGCUGAGGAGCGAAAGCGUGGGUAGCGAACAGGAUUAGAUACCCUGGUAGUCCACGCCGUAAACGGUGGGCGCUAGGUGUGGGUUUCCUU